CAGUAGCCGCGGGAAUACGAAGGGGGCUAGCGUUGUUCGGAAUUACUGGGCGUAAAGCGCACGUAGGCGGAUAUUUAAGUCAGGGGUGAAAUCCCGCAGCUCAACUGCGGAACUGCCUUUGAUACUGGGUAUCUUGAGUAUGGAAGAGGUUAGUGGAAUUGCGAGUGUAGAGGUGAAAUUCGUAGUUAUUCGCAGGAACACCAGUGGCGAAGGCGGCUAACUGGUCCAUAACUGACGCUGAGGUGCGAAAGCGUGGGGAGCAAACAGGAUUAGAUACCCCCGUAGUCCCUGUCUCUUAUAC
This 301-nucleotide ribosomal RNA is filed under the name uncultured bacterium. RNAcentral's name for it is "partial 16S ribosomal RNA". It matches the Rfam family "Bacterial small subunit ribosomal RNA", at positions 509 to 807 of the family's 1533-position model. The record is from RNAcentral.